UGGCCCAUCUCCAGCUUGGACUGCCAGAGGAAAUGUCCGCGUUUUUCAGUGCACAAAAUCAUUAUCCGAAUAUUGAAUACUGAAUUUCACAUAACUGAAAGGCUUGAAAAUAGGUCAGAAACAGACCAACAGGGGACGCCGUUUGCCAUUGCAGCCUCAAGUCACGUUAUUACUCGUCUUCCGCUACAUGCUCGCGCUAAACUAAUUUACAGGUUUAAACGACGUAGGUUGACGAUCAUCUUCAUCAUCAUUAUUAAGAGGUGGAAAUGACAGUAGAUCUGUACCAUCCCCUGGCUCAUGACCUGCUACUGAAAUACUUCAAGUCAAUCGAUAAAACAGUGGUGCGUUUCCCAGCUAAUGUCAAGUGUCUGAGGACCACCACCUUGAUGCAUUAUUAAAUGCACAUACGCAGACUGGAGGCAAAGACGUGGAACAGAAGCCCCGGCGAAAUGAACGCAAGAUCUGACAGAGAGAGCGAAAGAGGGAGAGAAAACUUAAUUGAAGCCUGAUUACUGGCCCUUG
Long non-coding RNA from Cyprinus carpio (common carp), 522 nucleotides. NCBI's taxonomy places the organism in Eukaryota, Metazoa, Chordata, Actinopteri, Cypriniformes, Cyprinidae. The record is from Ensembl.